GGGGGAUUUAAUCCAAGGGGGGUGGUGGUGGGGGUGUGGGUAACUUCAAGAAAAUUGGUUUAUUCCUCACAGAGACUUAAAUUAGUCGAGUGGAGUGAAUGUAUACAGCUUGAUUUGGACAAAACAGGCAAAUAAAAACACAUUUUUGAUUAUUAUUAUUUUCCAUUGACCGGAGUCAUGCGUGGACAUUAAAAGCCCGUUCCGAUGUUCGUCCGACACCAGAUGCUCACCAGACCCUCUCUGCGCUCCUAACUUCAGGCUGCUGGGCUCUUUACAGCGGGAGGGGACUGGGGGGUGGGGGUGGAGGAGGAUGGGAGAAGAGGAACACGUAAUCACCCAAACAUCCGUUGUUACCCACUUCGCCCCCUCUGGAUCUGUGUGGCAAGGUAAGAAAAAAGGCUACCCAGCUCGGCCCUGUUUGCUUUGAGAAGCGCAGCCUUGUACAGCUCCUCUCCUCUCCUCCCUCUCCCUGCAGCUGCGCCUCACUGCGGAUACCGAGCAGAGGGAGGCCGGCUGGCGAGCAAGCUCCCGCUAAACCAGGCUCACGUGAUUCUCCCUCAGCAAAAUUAAUUAUCACCCUUGCCCCCAAGAAAACAGUUAAAACAGAGGUACAUCUUUUUCUCCACAAAGAAAAGGUAAAAUUGUCUGUUUCACUUUUUAUGAUACACAGCAGACAUAUUAGGUCAUUUAGUAUUUUCUCCUAUGCUGUGGCUGUAAAUUUGUGUUUAUAA
This is a long non-coding RNA of Nothobranchius furzeri (turquoise killifish), 731 nucleotides long. The record is from Ensembl. Lineage: Eukaryota; Metazoa; Chordata; Actinopteri; Cyprinodontiformes; Nothobranchiidae.